RNAcentral lists this ribosomal RNA (573 nucleotides) under Laetiporus gilbertsonii. RNAcentral's name for it is "eukaryotic LSU rRNA". It matches the Rfam family "Eukaryotic large subunit ribosomal RNA", at positions 73 to 615 of the family's 3401-position model. The record is from RNAcentral. Lineage: Eukaryota; Fungi; Basidiomycota; Agaricomycetes; Polyporales; Laetiporaceae.
GAUUCCCUAGUAACUGCGAGUGAAGCGGGAAGAGCUCAAAUUUAAAAUCUGGCGGUCUUUGGCCGUCCGAGUUGUAGUCUGGAGAAGCGUCUUCUACGCCGGACCGUGUACAAGUCCCUUGGAACAGGGCGUCAUAGAGGGUGAGAAUCCCGUCCAUGACACGGACCGCCGGCGGUUUGUGAUGCGCUCUCAAAGAGUCGAGUUGUUUGGGAAUGCAGCUCAAAACGGGUGGUAAAUUCCAUCUAAAGCUAAAUACUGGCGAGAGACCGAUAGCGAACAAGUACCGUGAGGGAAAGAUGAAAAGCACUUUGGAAAGAGAGUUAAACAGUACGUGAAAUUGCUGAAAGGGAAACGCUUGAAGUCAGUCGCGUCGGCCGGGGCUCAGCCUUGCAUUCGUUUGCUCGGUUUACUUCCCGGUCGACGGGCCAGCGUCGAUUUCGACCGUCGGAGAACGGUCAGGGGAAAGUGGCACCUUCGGGUGUGUUAUAGCCUUUGGUCGCAUACGACGGUUGGGAUCGAGGGACGCAGCACGCCUUUAUUGGCCGGGGCAUUCGUGCCCACGUAUCGUGCUUA